This is a long non-coding RNA of Wasmannia auropunctata (little fire ant), 471 nucleotides long. RefSeq lists it as uncharacterized. The transcript has 3 exons. The record is from RefSeq and is a predicted model, not a curated record. Lineage: Eukaryota; Metazoa; Arthropoda; Insecta; Hymenoptera; Formicidae.
AAAAUCGCGAAGACGCGGACGCGUAAACGGAUCGACUUCGAGCUGUGUGGCGUCGCGGCGCGCUUGCUUGAUACAGCAAUUUUCCGAAUUGAGGCUAGGAGCAACAGGUGCAACGUCGCGUCGCUCCCACGCGAAGUUGGCCGCCCGCGAUUUCCGAACGCUCUCGUCUGUCCGCUGUUCCGGAUUCACGACGACGACGACGACGAUGACGGUUGGACGGCUGGACCGUCGCGAAUCGCACGAGACAUCGCGGAGUGCGGAGAUGCGGACAGCAGCGGUAAUUUCGCACGAUGAUUCCUCCCCCCGCGCUGCUCUUUCGUCGGGGAAAGAUGCGUGCGUGAACUAAAGCUGCAAGUGUCAUGCAAGCGCCGCGUUGAUGACCCCGUAGACCCCUAAUCUGAAGCCACCUUUACACGGCGUGGUGCCGGAAGCGCGCUCUUCCAACGAGGACGAUGCCGUUCUCGAGGAUGA